RNAcentral lists this long non-coding RNA (1771 nucleotides) under Gallus gallus (chicken). Lineage: Eukaryota; Metazoa; Chordata; Aves; Galliformes; Phasianidae. The record is from RNAcentral.
UCGUACUUGACCCCUUCCUCUUCCCUGGCUUGCAGAAGAGUAUUUUCAGAACUCAUCAACUUUUCAUACAGUCUUUGUCCUCUCAUGAACACCUUCACCUCAUUAUCCAGCGGAAACGUCCCAUCGUCUUUUCUGAAGCGGUAGAACAGUUUGGCAUCCUUGAAUUCUUUAUGCUCAUCACAAACAUGAUGGAUAAUGCUGUGAUCCAAUAACUUCUGGACAAGUUUAAUUGCUGUCUCUCGGUCCGAGGCCUCCUUAUGGUCAAUCAGCCAGUCAAUCAGCUCUUUGGCAACGAAGCAGUUGGGAUACGUCUUGAGGUGGUGCCUCCGGUCUUUGAUGACCUUCUCUUCAUGCAGUCGGAGCCGCAGCUGCUCGCCGGUCAGCAGGACCUCGGCCAUGUGCUCCAGCUCGGUCGCUUUCUGCUGCAUGCUGCUCAUGCCCUCCUCCAUCGCCGCCGCCUGCGGGCACAGCGCCGCGAGCUGAGGGGAGCGGGCUCCGACCCCCCGGCCGCAGCUGCCGCCGCUGCGGCCCCGAUCCCCCUCUCGUGGCCGGGGGCACCGGCAGCCUCCCCCCGCCGCGCUCACCUGGAGGAGACGGAGCGCCGUUUCGGUUCGCUUCCCCCCCCCCGCCCCCCACCCCCUCCAAAACCCGCCCCGCUUCCCGUGUUAUUGUGUCACGGGCGGGGAGAGAAACACAUGGCUGCGGCCGCCGCGGCACGGCUCGCCGAGGCAGCAGCGGCCCCCCCCGGCUGUCACACGGCAGGGAGUCACCGGCAGCCCCCGGCACGGGAGCGGCUCUGAGGGGGAGCUGCGCUGCGCCCCACGCCCCGGCUAUGGGCUGCGCGGAGCUGCCCCCGGCCGCGCUGUCACGGCCGCUGCCUCCCUCCGCCCGGCUCCCCGCGCACCCCCUGUGGCCGGGGGGCCGCUCUCACACAUUGCCCCCGUGACGCCGCACCUCUUUGUCCCUCCGGCGACGGCGGCCGCAGAAUUCCUGGGGGCUGAAAAGCGAUUCUCGCAAUAUUCAGUCUUUGAGAUGGGAAGUGCGAGGUCGUGAGCGCCUUUUGUCAGCACCGCUGGCGGAAAAAAGCACCAGAAUGGAAACAAGUCCAAGGCCACUUCUGCAGUGGUCCAAGAAGGGAUUUCAUUUGCAACAACGCAUGAUUAAGAUACACCUCGAUCUCAUGUGCACUCAUUGCGUUUCUCUCUGCCUGCACACACUGUGUGCGUGGAAAACUGCAUCUGCUUCAUAUUUGCAAUAUUGUCAUAGUUUGAUGACCAAGACCAUGGCUUCAGAACAAGGAUAAGCACUAACAAGGAAUCACGUGAAGGAAUCGAACCCAGUAUAAAGCAGGCUGAAAAGAAAGAGGAGGUGGAUCUCCAAACAGCCCCGGUAGACUUACAGUAUUUACGACUAAAGGAGGCUCGAUUAAAAUAAUAAUAAUAUUAAUAAUAAUAAUAACUUGGAGUCAAAGAAAAAAUGGACAAGUAGUUGGAAAAUAAGCCCAAGGAGGCUUAGGAAGCAGACAGCAGCCACGUCCAGCUGUGGAAAUUCUCUGCUAAAAAUAAUUGGAAGCUAGGCACGCACUUGCAAGAAGUUCCAUAUAUGCCUUCUCUGCAGUUCCCUAGCAUCUGUUCAUAGCCACUUGUGAGAUGAAUAUUGGACCAGGUGCACCUCUGGUUCAGCCCAUCACAGUCACGGUAGGGAAUGUCUCAGUGUGUCUAAAAGAACCCCACUGACCAAUGGGUGGUGAGCGAAGAAAAACCGAAUCUGC